RNAcentral lists this ribosomal RNA (29 nucleotides) under Irpex lacteus. RNAcentral's name for it is "partial 18S ribosomal RNA". Lineage: Eukaryota; Fungi; Basidiomycota; Agaricomycetes; Polyporales; Irpicaceae. The record is from RNAcentral.
AUUAAGGGGUUUCCGUAGGUGACCUGCGG